This 446-nucleotide ribosomal RNA is filed under the name uncultured bacterium. Its description in RNAcentral is "bacterial SSU rRNA". It matches the Rfam family "Bacterial small subunit ribosomal RNA", at positions 29 to 417 of the family's 1533-position model. The record is from RNAcentral.
AAUGAACGUUGGCGGCGUGGAUUAGGCAUGCAAGUCGAGCGGUAGGAGUUCACACACCCCGGCUCAUUUAAUUUAGCCCCCGGUCAAUGACUGGGGGGCCAAAUAGAUUAAGUGAACGAGGUGUGUGGACUCUGAGAGCGGCGAAAGGGAGAGUAACGCGUAGUUACGUACCCCGGGGUCCGGAAUAGCCACGGGAAACUGUGGGUAAUGCCGGAUAACAUCCCCGGAUCAAAGGUGUGAUUCCGCCCUGGGAGCGGACUGCGUUGUACUAGCUAGUUGGUGAGGUAAUGGCUCACCAAGGCAAUGAUGCAUAGCGGGUGUGAGAGCAUGACCCGUCUCACUGGGGACUGAGACACUGCCCAGACACCUACGGGUGGCUGCAGUCGAGAAUCUUCGGCAAUGCGCGCAAGCGUGACCGAGCGACGCCGUGUGUGGGAUGAAGGCCU